UAAUGACCAACCCACCAAUGAUGCAGGUUAGAGAACUUUCCCCGUCAGUUGCACCCACGAGUCAGCCCAUAGAAUUCCAUCUCUGCGAUCACACGGGACAGAGACAGUGGCACGCGCGAGCUAACUGAAACUAAUGUGAGAAGCUACAGCAUCUUGCUUACAUUUACCGAUGUGGAGAUCGACUCGUCUUUAGCGUAUUGCUGACUGCCCAUCUUAUUGACUGAUCAUCAAUGCUGGCUGAGUACAAAUAAAUCGGGUGAUUUGUGGAUUGCGCUCUGACGGCUAGUUCAUUGUCUUCUGUGGUGCUCUCCAUCUGACGGACGCACAACGACAAUAGCUGGCUUGGAUAAGCCAUAGUUUGAAGAUGAAUAACAAACCAGAAAAGGAGAAUGAAUUGAAUCACGAGUACACCAACCACGAGGAGGAGGUCAGGACGUUAUUUGUGAGUGGCCUCCCCCUGGACAUCAAACCGAGGGAGCUUUACCUCCUCUUCAGACCAUUCAAGGGUUAUGAAGGCUCCUUAAUUAAGCUUACCUCAAAACAGCCGGUGGGGUUUGUCAGUUUUGACAGUCGAUCAGAGGCCGAGGCGGCAAAGAACGCCCUCAACGGUGUCCGCUUCGACCCGGAGAUUCCCCAGACCUUGCGGCUGGAGUUCGCCAAAGCCAACACCAAGAUGGCCAAGAGCAAGCUAGUGGGCACCCCUAACCCUCCCCCCAAUCAGCAAAGUCCCGGCCCCCCCUUUAUCAGCAGAGACCCCUAUGAGCUCACAUGCCCUGCCCUCUACCCGGGCAGCCCUGACGUGUGGGCCUCGUACCCGCUCUACCCCGCCGAGCUGUCGCCCGCCCUCCCACCCGCUUUCACGUACCCCUCCUCGCUGCACGCUCAGAUUCGCUGGCUUCCACCGGCAGAUGGCAGUCCCCAGGGCUGGAAGUCCAGGCAAUUCUGCUGAAAAAAGUGUUCCUUUUGUGUGAUGGUGGCUAGGACUGGCCUUGAUGGAGUGUUGUGUGGCUUCAGCAGUCCAACCAGGGGGGUUCCAGACCUCUCUAGCCCUACAGUGGACCACUGGUAAAAACACCUCCCUGGAUUUAUGGACACUCAAGACCCCUUCUGCCUCCAUCACACAAGAUCAUCCUCUCUACCUCCCUCCCUCCCUCCCUUCUCUCCUCUCUUCCUCCCUUCUUUUUUUCUACUGUUACGUGCCAGAAGAAGUACUGUUAACACCUCUUUUGAAGAGCCCACUGUAAGAGCUACGUUCUCUGCCAGCCCAAACCUUAACACCCUCCUCAGCAGAGCUUUGAUGUUCACGUUGGUGCAGGUGUGCAGUUAGUGUGUGUGUCUGUAGGUUUAUGAUGCUUAUGAGGGUGUUAAGGGCGCUGGGGUGGGCCACAAUCAUGGUUUUAUAGUACUCAUAUGAGCAACGCCUUUCAACUGGGGUGAGACUGAAUGACCUGUAAAAUUUUAACCAAAGGAGCUCAUGUGUGUGACACCUCGUGACGGAGUGUCUUCAGUCUGAAGUGCUUACUCCAGAAGUGAACGCUGGAGUCACUGAUGAAAGAAAUAGCAAAGAUUGAGAUUGCUAUCGCAAGACAAUCCCUCAGCUGAGCUCGACGACAGCAGAGACUUAACUUCAGGGUUUUGCAGUGGGGCGGAGCCAGAUAGCACACACACUAACACACACACACACACACACACACAUUCACAUUCACACACACACACACACACACACAUUCACAUUCACACGCACA
RNA transcript from Clupea harengus (Atlantic herring), 1745 nucleotides. It is a transcript of the gene named RNA-binding protein with multiple splicing-like, with no coding region annotated. NCBI's taxonomy places the organism in Eukaryota, Metazoa, Chordata, Actinopteri, Clupeiformes, Clupeidae. The record is from RefSeq and is a predicted model, not a curated record.